Molecule: ribosomal RNA, 450 nt
Filed under: uncultured bacterium
Lineage: Bacteria
Description: partial 16S ribosomal RNA
Rfam family: Bacterial small subunit ribosomal RNA
Source: RNAcentral
GUGGGGAAUUUUGGACAAUGGGCGCAAGCCUGAUCCAGCAAUGCCGCGUGCAGGAAGAAGGCCUUCGGGUUGUAAACUGCUUUUGUACGGAACGAAACGGUCCGGGUUAAUACCCUGGGCUAAUGACGGUACCGUAAGAAUAAGCACCGGCUAACUACGUGCCAGCAGCCGCGGUAAUACGUAGGGUGCAAGCGUUAAUCGGAAUUACUGGGCGUAAAGCGUGCGCAGGCGGUUAUGUAAGACAGAGGUGAAAUCCCCGGGCUCAACCUGGGAACUGCCUUUGUGACUGCAUAGCUGGAGUGCGGCAGAGGGGGAUGGAAUUCCGCGUGUAGCAGUGAAAUGCGUAGAUAUGCGGAGGAACACCGAUGGCGAAGGCAAUCCCCUGGGCCUGCACUGACGCUCAUGCACGAAAGCGUGGGGAGCAAACAGGAUUAGAUACCCGUGUAGUCC